GACGAACGCUGGCGGCGUGCUUAACACAUGCAAGUCGAACGGAAAGGCCCUGCUUUUGUUGGGUGCUCGAUUGGCGAACGGGUGAGUGACACGUGUGUAACCUGCCCUUGACUUUGGGAUAACUUCAGGGAACUGGGGCUAAUACCGGGGAGGAGCUCCUGCUGCGUGUGGGUGGUUGGAGAGUUUCGGCGUUUGUGGAUGGACUCGCUGCUUAUCAGCUGGUUGGGGGGGUAGUGGAUUUCCAGGGCUUUGAGGGGUAGCCCGCCUGAGAGGGUGACCGGCCACCUUGGGCCUGCGAUACGGCCCAGACGCCAACGGGCGGCAGCAGUCGGGAAUAUUGCACAAUGGGCGGACGCGUGAUGUAGCAACGUCGCGUGCGGGAUGCCGGCCUACGGGUUGUAAACCGAUUUCGCCUGUGACGAAGAGUGAGUGACGGUAAUGGGUAAAGAAGCAACGGCUAACUACGUG
RNAcentral lists this ribosomal RNA (468 nucleotides) under uncultured bacterium. RNAcentral's name for it is "partial 16S ribosomal RNA". It matches the Rfam family "Bacterial small subunit ribosomal RNA", at positions 28 to 507 of the family's 1533-position model. The record is from RNAcentral.